RNAcentral lists this ribosomal RNA (253 nucleotides) under uncultured bacterium. RNAcentral's name for it is "partial 16S ribosomal RNA". It matches the Rfam family "Bacterial small subunit ribosomal RNA", at positions 524 to 776 of the family's 1533-position model. The record is from RNAcentral.
UACAAGGAAUGCAAGCGUUAUCCGGAAUGAUUGGGCGUAAAGCGUCUGUAGGUGGUUUAGAAAGUCGAUUGUCAAAAACCAAGGCUUAACCUUGGGCCGGCAAUGGAAACUUCUAGACUAGAGUACGGUAGAGGUAGAGGGAAUUACCGGUGUAACGGUGAAAUGUGCAGAUAUCGGUAAGAACACCAACGGCGAAAGCACUCUACUGGGCCGAGACUGACACUCAGAGACGAAAGCUAGGGGAGCGAAUAGG